GAUAUGAACCGUUAUAACCGGCGAUACCCGAAUGGGGAAACCCAGUGUGACUCGUCACACUAUCAUUAACUGAAUCCAUAGGUUAAUGAGGCGAACCGGGGGAACUGAAACAUCUAAGUACCCCGAGGAAAAGAAAUCAACCGAGAUUCCCCCAGUAGCGGCGAGCGAACGGGGAGGAGCCCAGAGCCUGAAUCAGCAUGUGUGUUAGUGGAAGCGUCUGGAAAGGCGCGCGAUACAGGGUGACAGCCCCGUACACAAAAGCGCAUGUGCUGUGAGCUCGAUGAGUAGGGCGGGACACGUGGUAUCCUGUCUGAAUAUGGGGGGACCAUCCUCCAAGGCUAAAUACUCCUGACUGACCGAUAGUGAACCAGUACCGUGAGGGAAAGGCGAAAAGAACCCCGGCGAGGGGAGUGAAAAAGAACCUGAAACCGUGUACGUACAAGCAGUGGGAGCACCCUUUGGGUGUGACUGCGUACCUUUUGUAUAAUGGGUCAGCGACUUAUAUUCUGUAGCAAGGUUAACCGAAUAGGGGAGCCGGAGGGAAACCGAGUCUUAAUUGGGCGUUAAGUUGCAGGGUAUAGACCCGAAACCCGGUGAUCUAGCCAUGGGCAGGUUGAAGGUUGGGUAACACUAACUGGAGGACCGAACCGACUAAUGUUGAAAAAUUAGCGGAUGACCUGUGGCUGGGGGUGAAAGGCCAAUCAAACCGGGAGAUAGCUGGUUCUCCCCGAAAGCUAUUUAGGUAGCGCCUCGUGAAUUCAUCUCCGGGGGUAGAGCACUGUUUCGGCUAGGGGGCCAUCCCGGCUUACCAACCCGAUGCAAACUGCGAAUACCGGAGAAUGUUAUCACGGGAGACACACGGCGGGUGCUAACGUCCGUCGUGAAGAGGGAAACAACCCAGACCGCCAGCUAAGGUCCCAAAGUCAUGGUUAAGUGGGAAACGAUGUGGGAAGGCCCAGACAGCCAGGAUGUUGGCUUAGAAGCAGCCAUCAUUUAAAGAAAGCGUAAUAGCUCACUGGUCGAGUCGGCCUGCGCGGAAGAUGUAACGGGGCUAAACCAUGCACCGAAGCUGCGGCAGCGACACUGUGUGUUGUUGGGUAGGGGAGCGUUCUGUAAGCC
Molecule: ribosomal RNA, 1119 nt
Filed under: Salmonella enterica subsp. enterica serovar Enteritidis
Lineage: Bacteria; Pseudomonadati; Pseudomonadota; Gammaproteobacteria; Enterobacterales; Enterobacteriaceae
Description: partial 23S ribosomal RNA
Rfam family: Bacterial large subunit ribosomal RNA
Source: RNAcentral